This 253-nucleotide ribosomal RNA is filed under the name uncultured bacterium. RNAcentral describes it as "partial 16S ribosomal RNA". It matches the Rfam family "Bacterial small subunit ribosomal RNA", at positions 524 to 776 of the family's 1533-position model. The record is from RNAcentral.
UACGUAGGGUGCGAGCGUUAAUCGGAAUUACUGGGCGUAAAGCGUGCGCAGGCGGUUUUGUAAGCCAGAUGUGAAAUCCCCGGGCUCAACCUGGGAAUGGCAUUUGGGACUGCAAGGCUCGAGUGCGGCAGAGGAGACUGGAAUUCCUGGUGUAGCAGUGAAAUGCGUAGAUAUCAGGAGGAACACCGAUGGCGAAGGCAGGUCUCUGGUCCAUGUCUGACGCUGAGGUACGAAAGCCAGGGGAGCAAACGGG